RNAcentral lists this long non-coding RNA (385 nucleotides) under Rhinopithecus bieti (black snub-nosed monkey). RNAcentral's name for it is "lncRNA (ENSRBIG00000046785.1)". The record is from RNAcentral. Lineage: Eukaryota; Metazoa; Chordata; Mammalia; Primates; Cercopithecidae.
CUAUAAGCUAGAAAUGUAGAGUUGGCCAAAGAGAGGUUAAAAUGGAUGAAUAAGGGUGCCUCGAAACCAACCACAGCUUAAAGAUCAGCUUACAGCUGAAGUGAAGAUCAACUUACAGCUUACAGCUAAAGACGAUGAAAAGUGUGAGGAUAAAAUAAGGUCACCAGCCCUCUCUCUGUCUGCGACCGUUCUGACAGUUCAUGCCCCACUCUUGCCAUCUCAGGUUUAGUAACAUCACAGAUUCUAGCUGUUCAUGUGGACAAUAUGGAUCAAGUUCACAUCUCCCAAAACACCUGAAGGAAUGCUGUCCUUGGACGCCUUCCUAGUGGCAUUCUAUGUUAUGUGGAUAAUAUUACCAACUCCAUCUUCAAAGAACAGCAUCUGA